RNAcentral lists this ribosomal RNA (253 nucleotides) under uncultured bacterium. RNAcentral's name for it is "partial 16S ribosomal RNA". It matches the Rfam family "Bacterial small subunit ribosomal RNA", at positions 524 to 776 of the family's 1533-position model. The record is from RNAcentral.
UACGUAGGGUGCAAGCGUUAUUCGGAAUUACUGGGCGUAAAGCGUGCGCAGGCGGUUCGCUAAGACAGAUGUGAAAUCCCCGGGCUUAACCUGGGAACUGCAUUUGUGACUGGCGGGCUAGAGUAUGGCAGAGGGGGGUAGAAUUCCACGUGUAGCAGUGAAAUGCGUAGAGAUGUGGAGGAAUACCGAUGGCGAAGGCAGCCCCCUGGGCCAAUACUGACGCUCAUGCACGAAAGCGUGGGGAGCAAACAGG